GAUGAACGCUAGCUACAGGCUUAACACAUGCAAGUCGAGGGGCAGCAUGAAGUCAGCUUGCUGACUUUGAUGGCGACCGGCGCACGGGUGAGUAACGCGUAUCCAACCUUCCCCUUACUCAGGAAUAGCCCGUUGAAAGACGGAUUAAUGCCUGAUGUUCUCUGUUUCCGGCAUCGGUAAUAGAGCAAAGAUUCAUCGGUAAGGGAUGGGGAUGCGUAUGAUUAGCUUGUUGCGGGGUAACGGCCCACCAAGGCAACGAUCAUUAGGGGUUCUGAGAGGAAGGUCCCCCCANACUGGAACUGAGACACGGUCCAGACUCCUACGGGAGGCAGCAGUGAGGAAUAUUGGUCAAUGGAGGCAACUCUGAACCAGCCAAGUAGCGUGCAGGACGACGG
RNAcentral lists this ribosomal RNA (395 nucleotides) under uncultured bacterium. RNAcentral's name for it is "bacterial SSU rRNA". It matches the Rfam family "Bacterial small subunit ribosomal RNA", at positions 28 to 414 of the family's 1533-position model. The record is from RNAcentral.